Dalotia coriaria is the source of this 1083-nucleotide long non-coding RNA. RefSeq lists it as uncharacterized. The transcript is spliced from 4 exons. The record is from RefSeq and is a predicted model, not a curated record. Lineage: Eukaryota; Metazoa; Arthropoda; Insecta; Coleoptera; Staphylinidae.
UCCUGAACUUACCAACUGAAGGCCUCAAAAGUAUAACCGGCAGCUUCCCCAACUCGUCGUUAAUCAAUCCCUCACUCAACGCUUUUGUAAACGCUCUUGAUGACAUUCAAAGGACUCGCCGGAGGUGCAUACGGCUUCUCAUACAGGAUCCUCUCAUGCAAAUGGCAGUAAGCAGUAGACACUUCCGCGCACGUUGAGCAGCACAGCGCUUUUUAACGGUUGAUCAAAGCGUACGGUGGCAGCGCAGUGGAAUACAAAGUGUACAUCGUCAAUAAUUAUCUGGCGAUCUUUAUCGGAGAGACCCAUGCCCAACAGACUUACAUCACCUUCGAUUGGGACGACUUUAUCGAAGAUACUUUGGGUUUUCAUGUUGCGUAACAUGUCGAAGAGCUGCACAUAAAAUUUAAGGGUUUAAGCAGUUUUACUAAGAGAUUUUAAGCAGUUUCCACGUUUUUUAAACUGACUUAAGUUAAGUAAGUUAAGUGAAGUUAAGUUUUUUUAUGCGCGUGUAUGACUUCUCGACUUGUCUUUUGUUGAAUGAGCCCACUUGGGCUUGCCUCGAUUUCGUCAAUUUCUCCUUCCUUGGUGAAAGAAAAAAUCUUACUUUUCGCACUUCGCCACGCAUUGCGCUUGAUAUUGAUCCGUGAAGCCGGUGUAAUGCUUGUGUACGCAUGCGUGUUUACUUUCGGCCGUUUUUUUCGUCAUACCAAACAUUACUACAUUACUUAACGCACUUAACUGUUGCAUUACUUAACUUAAGUCAAUUGUACACACACUUUACUCUACUUGAUUCAACACUACAGCAUAUUUAAAUCAAGGUAUAUCAUAACCUAACCUUACUUAACUCAACUUUACUUAACUUUACUUAAGUUAAGUAAGGUUAGGUUGGAAUAAGUUGAGUUAAUUUUAUAAUUUUGUUAUAACAAUAAAAUUAUUGAUGUUAUCUUUGACAUGCUAACAUAGUUUAUGGGCCAUAAAAUAAGUAUUGUGGUUAUUUAUUAAACAAUAGUUGGCAAUACGUCGUUAAAUCAUUAGGUGAUGCAAAAACGUUUAUAUUUGUUUAUAUUGUUUAUAACUAGUACA